Molecule: long non-coding RNA, 363 nt
Filed under: Elaeis guineensis (African oil palm)
Lineage: Eukaryota; Viridiplantae; Streptophyta; Magnoliopsida; Arecales; Arecaceae
Description: long non-coding RNA (EGUI_LNC060077)
Source: RNAcentral
AUGCCUCUUUCAAAAUUCAAACUACCACUGGUAGCAAAGUAAAUAAGAAAGAAUAACAAAUAAAAGCUCUCUACAUAAGGAAAGGAUAAUGGCCAUAUUUCUCCAGACAAGUCAAGAUUAACUACCUGAUUCUCUUUUUUCUCACAGCUUUUCAGUCUUCAUCUAUAAAUAAAGGUCCACAGAGGACUUCCAAGGUAUGAAAUCUCCUCUCUCCUAACACGCUCACUCCUCUUCUGUUGUCAGAUUUCUGACUUGAGCAUCAGAGGGUCUCCGUCGAAGCCACCUUCGAUUAAAAACUUUUCUUGCAGGUCCUGCCACUGCCAUCCGACCGUCGCUGACCUACCAUCACCACCCAACUCUAGC